Molecule: ribosomal RNA, 399 nt
Filed under: uncultured bacterium
Lineage: Bacteria
Description: bacterial SSU rRNA
Rfam family: Bacterial small subunit ribosomal RNA
Source: RNAcentral
GAGGAAUAUUGGACAAUGGGCGCAAGCCUGAUCCAGCAAUGCCGCGUGGAUGAAGAAGGUCUUCGGAUUGUAAAGUCCUUUCGGCGGGGACGAUGAUGACGGUACCCGCAGAAGAAGCCCCGGCUAACUUCGUGCCAGCAGCCGCGGUAAUACGAAGGGGGCUAGCGUUGCUCGGAAUGACUGGGCGUAAAGGGCGCGUAGGCGGUUUGGUCAGUUAGGUGUGAAAUUCCUGGGCUUAACCUGGGGACUGAACUUAAUACGGCCAGGCUUGAGUGUGGAAGAGGGUUGUGGAAUUCCCAGUGUAGAGGUGAAAUUCGUAGAUAUUGGGAAGAACACCGGUGGCGAAGGCGGCAACCUGGUCCAUUACUGACGCUGAGGCGCGAAAGCGUGGGGAGCAAA